GAGUUUGAUCCUGGCUCAGAGUGAACGCUGGCGGCGUGCCUAACACAUGCAAGUCGAGCGGGGUACCUGGCGUAGCAAUACGUCGUGUGCCCAGCGGCAGACGGGUGAGUAACACGUAGACAAUCUUCCUUCCAGAGGGGGAUAGCCCGCCGAAAGGCGGGGUAAUACCGCGUACGAUUCGUUGAUGGCAUCAUCGAUGAAUGGAACAUCCGCAAGGAUGGCUGGAUGAGGGGUCUGCGGCCUAUCAGCUAGUUGGUGGGGUAAUGGCCCACCAAGGCGACGACGGGUAUCCGACCUGAAAGGGUGACCGGACACACUGACACUGAGACACGGGUCAGACUCCUACGGGAGGCAGCAGUGAGGAAUUUUGGACAAUGGGGGAAACCCUGAUCCAGCGACGCCGCGUGGAGGACGAAGGUCUUCGGAUUGUAAACUCCUUUUGUCUGGGACUAAGAAGCCUAGGGAAACUUAGGAAGUGAAGGUACCAGAUGAAUAAGCCACGGCUAACUUCGUGCCAGCAGCCGCGGUAAUACGAAGGUGGCAAGCGUUACUCGGAAUUACUAGGCGUAAAGGGCAAGUAGGCGGUUUGGUUAGUCUGUUGUGAAAGCUCCUGGCUUAACCGGGAGAGGUCAAUAGAUACUGCCAGACUUGAGUAUGGGAGAGGGUACUGGAAUUCCCGGUAUAGCGGUGAAAUGCGCAGAUAUCGGGAGGAACACCGAUGGCGAAAGCAGGUACCUGGACCAUUACUGACGCUCAUCUGCGAAAGCUAGGGGAGCAAACAGGAUUAGAUACCCUGGUAG
Molecule: ribosomal RNA, 800 nt
Filed under: uncultured bacterium
Lineage: Bacteria
Description: bacterial SSU rRNA
Rfam family: Bacterial small subunit ribosomal RNA
Source: RNAcentral